This 169-nucleotide ribosomal RNA is filed under the name Aruncus dioicus. RNAcentral's name for it is "5.8S ribosomal RNA". It matches the Rfam family "5.8S ribosomal RNA". Rfam says of the family: 5.8S ribosomal RNA (5.8S rRNA) is a component of the large subunit of the eukaryotic ribosome. It is transcribed by RNA polymerase I as part of the 45S precursor that also contains 18S and 28S rRNA. RNAcentral also lists the same sequence under 9 other names. Lineage: Eukaryota; Viridiplantae; Streptophyta; Magnoliopsida; Rosales; Rosaceae. The record is from RNAcentral.
UAUGUCAAAACGACUCUCGGCAACGGAUAUCUCGGCUCUCGCAUCGAUGAAGAACGUAGCGAAAUGCGAUACUUGGUGUGAAUUGCAGAAUCCCGUGAACCAUCGAGUCUUUGAACGCAAGUUGCGCCCGAAGCCGUCAGGCCGAGGGCACGCCUGCCUGGGCGUCACA